This 254-nucleotide ribosomal RNA is filed under the name uncultured bacterium. RNAcentral describes it as "partial 16S ribosomal RNA". It matches the Rfam family "Bacterial small subunit ribosomal RNA", at positions 524 to 776 of the family's 1533-position model. The record is from RNAcentral.
UACGUAGGGGGCGAGCGUUGUCCGGAUUUAUUGGGCGUAAAGAGCUCGUAGGCGGUUCGGUAAGUCGGAUGUGAAAUCUCCACGCUCAACGUGGAGGGGCCAUUCGAUACUGCCGUGACUCGAGUCCGGUAGGGGAGUGUGGAAUUCCCGGUGUAGCGGUGAAAUGCGCAGAGAUCGGGAGGAACACCCGUAGCGAAGGCGGCACUCUGGGCCGGUACUGACGCUGAGGAGCGAAAGCGUGGGUAGCAAACAGG